Molecule: ribosomal RNA, 494 nt
Filed under: uncultured bacterium
Lineage: Bacteria
Description: partial 16S ribosomal RNA
Rfam family: Bacterial small subunit ribosomal RNA
Source: RNAcentral
GACGAACGCUGGCGGCGUGCUUAACACAUGCAAGUCGAACGGUGAAGCGCCUUCCUUUUUGGUGGGUGUGGAUGAGUGGCGAACGGGUGAGUAACACGUGAGUAACCUGCCCCCUUCUUCUGGAUAACCGCAUGAAAGUGUGGCUAAUACGGGAUAUUCUGGGUCUGUCGCAUGAUGGGUCUGGGAAAGAUAUUGUUUCGGUGGGGGAUGGGCUCGCGGCCUAUCAGCUUGUUGGUGGGGUGAUGGCCUACCAAGGCGGUGACGGGUAGCCGGCCUGAGAGGGUGGACGGUCACACUGGGAAUGAGACACGGCCCAGACUCCUACGGGAGGCAGCAGUGGGGAAUAGUGCACAAUGGGCGCAAGCCUGAUGCAGCGACGCCGCGUGAGGGAUGGAGGCCUUCGGGUUGUGAACCUCUUUCGCCAGUGAAGCAGGCCUGCCUCGUUUGUGGGUGGGUUGACGGUAGCUGGAUAAGAAGCGCCGGCUAACUACGUG